Molecule: ribosomal RNA, 1140 nt
Filed under: Amanita fulvoides
Lineage: Eukaryota; Fungi; Basidiomycota; Agaricomycetes; Agaricales; Amanitaceae
Description: partial 28S ribosomal RNA
Rfam family: Eukaryotic large subunit ribosomal RNA
Source: RNAcentral
UUUGACCUCAAAUCAGGUAGGACUACCCGCUGAACUUAAGCAUAUCAAUAAGCGGAGGAAAAGAAACUAACAAGGAUUCCCCUAGUAACUGCGAGUGAAGCGGGAAAAGCUCAAAUUUUGAAAUCUGGCAGUCUAUUUUUUCUUCUUUGGCUGUCCGAAUUGUAAUCUAGAGAAGUGCUUACCUGCACUGGACCAUGUAUAAGUCUCCUGGAAUGGAGCGUCGCAGAGGGUGAGAAUCCCGUCUUUGACAUGGACUGCCAGUGUGUUGUGGUGUGCUCUCAAAGAGUCGAGUUGUUUGGGAAUGCAGCUCUAAAUGGGUGGUAAACUCCAUCUAAAGCUAAAUAUUGGCGAGAGACCGAUAGCGAACAAGUACCGUGAGGGAAAGAUGAAAAGGACUUUGGAAAGAGAGUUAAACAGUAUGUGAAAUUGUUGAAAGGGAAACGCUUGAAGUCAGUUGUGUCGGCUAGGGAUCAACCUAGCUGUUUUUUGCUGGGUGAAUUUCCUAGUCUGACAGGCCAACAUCAGUCUUGACUGCUGGAAAAGAGCAGGGGGAAUGUGGCACCUUUGGGUGUGUUAUAGCCUUUUGUCAUAUGUGGCAGUCGGGACUGAGGGAUGCAGCGUGCCGCGAGGCUGGGUUUCGACCACGUUCACGCUUAGGAUGUUGGCUUUUAAUGGCUUCAAUCGACCCGUCUUGAAACACGGACCAAGGAGUCUAACAUGCCUGCGAGUGUUUGGGUGGAAAACCCUUGCGCGCAAUGAAAGUGAAAGUUGAGAUCCCUGUCAUGGGGAGCAUCGACGCCCGGACUUGAGCUUUUAGCGACGGAUCUGCGGUAGAGCAUGCAUGUUGGGACCCGAAAGAUGGUGAACUAUGCCUGAAUAGGGCAAAGCCAGAGGAAACUCUGGUGGAGGCUCGUAGCGAUUCUGACGUGCAAAUCGAUCGUCAAAUUUGGGUAUAGGGGCGAAAGACUAAUCGAACCAUCUAGUAGCUGGUUCCUGCCGAAGUUUCCCUCAGGAUAGCAGAAGCUCAUUAUCAGAUUUAUGUGGUAAAGCGAAUGAUUAGAGGCCUUGGGGUUGAAACAACCUUAACCUAUUCUCAAACUUUAAAUAUGUAAGAACGAGCUGUCACUUGAUUGGACUGCU